AUGACAAAACCAAAAAGAGGAGGAGGCAUCAGCUUCAGAGACAUGUAUCUUUUCAAUCAAGCAUUUCUAGCGAGACAGGGAUGGAGGUUGAUCCAAUACCCGGAUAGCUUGUGUGCAAGGGUCCUCAAGUCAAAAUACUAUCCCAAAGGGAAUCUGCUAGACACGGAUUUUGCAUCUGAUGCUUCUCUGACCUGGAGAGGAAUUGAAUUCGGCGUAGAGCUUCUAAAGAAAGGGCUAAUUUGGAGAGUGGGUAAUGGAAAGAACAUCCAAAUCCAAAGGGACCGGUGGAUUCCAAGGAAAGAGGGUCUUAAAGUUGCUAAUUUCACAUGCAGAUCGAGACUGAGAUGGGUUAACCAGCUUAUUGAUCUGGUCUCUAAUGAGUUGGACCGGGAACUUAUCAACCGGAUCUUCUCUCCUUUCGAUGCCUCUGAAAUUGUCAGGAUAAUAAUACCAAGGGGGGAGAUCGAGGAUUGUGUGGCUUGGCACUACGAGAAAUCUGGCAAUUUCACUGUCAAGAGUGCCUACAAGCUAGCGAUGGCGAUGAAGAGGAGCGGCCCCCAGACCUCUAGCUCCACGGCAAGUGUUGACGAUCGCAGCAGCUGGGACCUUAUUUGGAAAGAGAAAAUCCCUGGGAAAAUCAAAAUUUUCGGAUGGAGGGUGGCUACAAACACUCUAGCUACCAAAUCUAACAAGUGCAGACGAAUGCUUGAGACAGACAGCACCUGUGUCAUUUGCGGCAACGCGGAGGAAGAUGAGUUUCAUACUGUGGUAUCGUGCAUGAAAAGUAAAGCCCUGAGACAAGCAAUGUGA
This 810-nucleotide ribosomal RNA is filed under the name Triticum aestivum (bread wheat). RNAcentral's name for it is "partial small subunit ribosomal RNA". The record is from RNAcentral. Lineage: Eukaryota; Viridiplantae; Streptophyta; Magnoliopsida; Poales; Poaceae.